RNAcentral lists this small RNA (47 nucleotides) under Arabidopsis thaliana (thale cress). Its description in RNAcentral is "ATSL059670". Lineage: Eukaryota; Viridiplantae; Streptophyta; Magnoliopsida; Brassicales; Brassicaceae. The record is from RNAcentral.
UGCAGAAGAAGAAGAAGGUCGUGACGGAGAAGCAGAAGAAGAAGUAU